This 404-nucleotide ribosomal RNA is filed under the name uncultured Candidatus Saccharibacteria bacterium. RNAcentral's name for it is "partial 16S ribosomal RNA". It matches the Rfam family "Bacterial small subunit ribosomal RNA", at positions 355 to 774 of the family's 1533-position model. The record is from RNAcentral. Lineage: Bacteria; Candidatus Saccharimonadota.
UAGGGAAUUUUCCACAAUGGGGGCAACCCUGAUGGAGCAACGCCGCGUGCAGGAUGAAGGCUUUCGGGUCGUAAACUGCUUUUCUCUGUGAUGAUUAUGACAGUAGCAGAGGAAUAAGGAUCGGCUAACUCCGUGCCAGCAGCCGCGGUCAUACGGAGGAUCCAAGCGUUAUCCGGAAUUACUGGGCGUAAAGAGUUGCGUAGGCGGUCUUGUAAGCAGGGCAUGAAAUAGUGUGGCUCAACCAUACUGCUAUGUUCUGAACUGCAAUGACUAGAGGAUGAGAGAGGUCACUGGAAUUCCAAGUGUAGGAGUGAAAUCCGUAGAUAUUUGGAGGAACACCGAUGGCGUAGGCAGGUGACUGGCUCAUUCCUGACGCUCAGGCACGAAAGCGUGGGUAGCAAACG